GGAUGUGUGGGCAAUCUAGCUGUGACAUCUGUCACCUUGUUGAGUGUCAGAGUUUAUUCAGCUGACCUGGAUGACCAAGCAGGUGUCUCUUCCUGUCUCUUGGCUCUGGGUGUGUCCCUCUACACACACACACAAGGCUGUGUGACCUUCCCUGAUGGAGAAGAACCAUUCUUCAGUCAAGGAUACAUGAGUAACUUUGCUGGUCUGCUAGAACUUCCAAACAAGUGUUCAAGGUCACAAAUUGUAGGAUUGCAUUGAUAGGAAAUCUCCAGGGAAGAUCAAUCUGUGCAGCCAGGAGAU
Molecule: unclassified non-coding RNA, 300 nt
Organism: Cavia porcellus (domestic guinea pig)
Lineage: Eukaryota; Metazoa; Chordata; Mammalia; Rodentia; Caviidae
Gene: 7SK
Rfam family: 7SK RNA
About the family: 7SK was discovered as an abundant small nuclear RNA in the mid-70s but a possible function has only recently been suggested. Two independent studies have found that 7SK RNA binds the CDK9/cyclin T complex (known as elongation factor P-TEFb).
Source: Ensembl